CAGCCGCCGCGGGAAAACGUAGGUGGCGAGCGUUGUCCGGAAUCAUUGGGCGUAAAGGGCUCGCAGGCGGUUUCUUAAGUCUGAUGUGAAAGCCCCCGGCUCAACCGGGGAGGGUCAUUGGAAACUGGGAGACUUGAGUGCAGAAGAGGAGAGCGGAAUUCCAUGUGUAGCGGUGAAAUGCGUAGAUAUAUGGAGGAACACCAGUGGCGAAGGCGACUCUCUGGUCUGUAACUGACGCUGAGGAGCGAAAGCGUGGGGAGCGAACAGGAUUAGAUACCCCCGUAGUCCCUGUCUCUUAUAA
RNAcentral lists this ribosomal RNA (301 nucleotides) under uncultured bacterium. Its description in RNAcentral is "partial 16S ribosomal RNA". It matches the Rfam family "Bacterial small subunit ribosomal RNA", at positions 509 to 809 of the family's 1533-position model. The record is from RNAcentral.